This 631-nucleotide ribosomal RNA is filed under the name Streptomyces sp. ANA3005. RNAcentral's name for it is "bacterial SSU rRNA". It matches the Rfam family "Bacterial small subunit ribosomal RNA", at positions 56 to 705 of the family's 1533-position model. Lineage: Bacteria; Bacillati; Actinomycetota; Actinomycetes; Kitasatosporales; Streptomycetaceae. The record is from RNAcentral.
UGCAGUCGAACGAUGAACCACUUCGGUGGGGAUUAGUGGCGAACGGGUGAGUAACACGUGGGCAAUCUGCCCUUCACUCUGGGACAAGCCCUGGAAACGGGGUCUAAUACCGGAUACGACUACUGAGGGCAUCCUUGGUGGUGGAAAGCUCCGGCGGUGAAGGAUGAGCCCGCGGCCUAUCAGCUUGUUGGUGAGGUAACGGCUCACCAAGGCGACGACGGGUAGCCGGCCUGAGAGGGCGACCGGCCACACUGGGACUGAGACACGGCCCAGACUCCUACGGGAGGCAGCAGUGGGGAAUAUUGCACAAUGGGCGAAAGCCUGAUGCAGCGACGCCGCGUGAGGGAUGACGGCCUUCGGGUUGUAAACCUCUUUCAGCAGGGAAGAAGCGAAAGUGACGGUACCUGCAGAAGAAGCGCCGGCUAACUACGUGCCAGCAGCCGCGGUAAUACGUAGGGCGCAAGCGUUGUCCGGAAUUAUUGGGCGUAAAGAGCUCGUAGGCGGCUUGUCACGUCGAUUGUGAAAGCCCGAGGCUUAACCUCGGGUCUGCAGUCGAUACGGGCUAGCUAGAGUGUGGUAGGGGAGAUCGGAAUUCCUGGUGUAGCGGUGAAAUGCGCAGAUAUCAGGAGGA